GAGGAAAAGCAGAAACAGGUCUAGGACUCUAAGUCUAUGGGAGAACAUAGGACCUUUGCCGCACACCCACGAAUACGAAGACCUAGAGUCUACAGAUAGGGCGUCGGAUGGUGGACCCUACAGUGAGCUUUUCUCGUCAGAAACCUAGCUACUAAACGGAACCGAACAGGAUACAGAGCAAGUCUAGGUCGGUGGCAUCCUCCGUGGCGAUUGUUCUAACAAGUAGCGCGAAAACCCGGCGAGCAAUUUGAUUCAGUUAGCUGAUAGGUAGUGUGAGACACAGCGCUGAAAUACGCGGAGUCAGUAUUGAGAGUGAAGGCGUGAUACAUUGUAUAACCUGUUACCAGAUCUCUUUACCUCACAAAAUGGUAUUGCUGUUCGUGUGGUAGGCAAAGCGGCAUGCCAGAAGACACCCGCCGCCGGUAGCUAGUCUAUUUUGAUCUGUAUUUUACCUGCUUGUCCAGUCACAUAACGAUAAGACUAAGUGCUGUCAACGAAGCCUUUUGCCCGCAAACGUUUGACACUCUGGCUAUGGCGCAUGUACAGCAACGGCAUCAAAGCAUAGGCGGCGGGGCAGGGGGGCCGUAGCCCCCCCCCCAAAAAAAAAAGAAAAUAUUGGGAGCGCAGCCCCCCUUAUGAAAAUUGGAAAAUAUUCAAUCUCGUGAUCUUUUCUCAGUUCCUUAUACGAGCAUCACGCUUGAGGAAAUCAUGUGUUGUAAAACAUCUUUUUGUAAAGCUCCAGCUUGUGUUCAAGAAUCUUAUCAACGGAAGCAAUUUCAUUAAACUACACAGCACGUCUACGAAAUUAUACAAGAUGCAAUUUUGUCCCAAUCGAAUGGUACGCUGGAAAAUUUUAGGUUGUGCCGGAAAAAAUGAAAAUGAAAAGCGAGUACGGAUACACUCGAAACUGAUUGCAAAGACGUUUGCUUGUGCCAACGAACAACGCAAAGGGCAUUUUGAAAAAUUUUGAGGAUGGGUAUGCGCAUGGUUGGGUUAAAGAUAAGCCCCCUCCUCCCACGUUUCAAAAUGCUCCGCCGCCUCUGCAAAAGAUCAAAUGCCAGCUUCAUCUCAAGCAUUGCUAUCCACGUACGACUGAGUUAGCGGUCUUGAAAGCGAAAAAGUUGGAAUCUUGCCUGUUAUUUUUAAGUUCCAACUUGUCGUAAGAGUUUAUUUCACUUCAUUCCUCUAAGCUUGCGUUGAAGCGUUUCUGAGGCCUUUCAACGCCUUCUUGCAGACAAAAUUGAACCUCCAUUUAAUAGAAUAGAAUAUUUAUUGAGUCACGAUAGAUCGUGCCCAUUGUGCCCGAGAAACUCAGUUCUUUUUAAAAUGGGUUUAGUUUCGACGUGAUGUCACCCUUCAAUGUUUUAGUGUCAGAAAUGUAGUUUAAUCUAGCCUUCCAUUGUCGAAGUUGGCAUCAUGAAGAUUAAUUGAUUGAAAGUCAUACAUUUUCUGCUUUUCUUUGCGCGUGCUCGCUGAUAACUGACAAUAGGUCGUUCCAUAGAGUUUGAAACAGAACUACUGAGUAGGGUGGGAACUUCUUGGACACGGUGUUUCUUCACGGGGGGUGACAACUCUAACAAACGCUGUUUCGGGACAAAGCCAAAGUUGUUCCGGGAAUCUGGAGAUUUUUCCGGGAAUCGGGACACUUGGAAAUUUUACCGGAAAACACGCGAUAAUUCCGGGACAUUGCAGAAAAAAAAAAAAUGGGACAUCGAAGGAAUUUUUGUCUCACGUUUUUAUUUACAUUAAACUCGGUAAGUUAGGCAUGAAAUCUUCUGUAAAUGAAAACAUUCAAACAGCCUUUGGAGUGUUGGGUCGGCGUAUUUUAUUGCUGAUGGUGGCAGUCUUCGUCUAAACACACCAACGCAAGUUUCAUUCAGAAUUGGAUGGAGACCCUCCGCAACGGCCACGAAGCUUACGGUUUAACUGAAAAGAGACUUGGAGAAAUUUACAAAUGUAAGGUCAGAGCUAUGGAUUACCCGUCAAAGAUUAAAGCGUUGGAGCAAAGAAGCAGCUAUUUUGAAAAGUGGCAAAAUGAAGUCGCCGAAAGGUUACCGGGAAAGAAGACCGCCAGCAUGGAAAAGUAUGGUACCCCUAGAACGAAAACCAUGGAGAAUACAAGGAUAUCCUGAGAAGGGAAGAGAAGCAUAGAAGGUCUUCAAAGAGAACAUGGUCUUGAAAGUAGACUAAAUGAGUUCCAGUUCACUUCUGUUACAACGCUUCGUACAGAAGGCAUGUUCGGAGUAUACAACCGAGAUCAGGUGGUUCCAUCUGCACUUGAAUUUAAAUAUCUUUCUUCUCGCAGUGCAUUGGAAUGUGCAAUGGAAUCCGUUAUGGGGCUUGGAUUUAAGAGGAAGAGAGAGACGCGUUAUGAACACAGAGAUGACUGCCAAAUGCCAUUGCUCUACACAAAGCGGAAAGAUGAUUGUUCUUUUAUAAAGGAAAGUUCGCGGGUAAAGAAAGAGGCGUCAGAAAUGCGGGACUUUUGCCGUGUGUACGGAAAGGGUGUUAAAGUUAGUGGAGUGAGACAAAUCUACAAGCAGAGGCCAGGCUCUCUUCCUUUAUACUGCCGAAAAGCCAAAAGCCACGGUGACAUUGCACGAUGAAGAAAGUGCUCCUUUGUUGCAGUGGUUAUAUUCUGUGACAAAACAAAAUGGAGGCAAAAGAGCUGAAAGGGCGAAAGGCAAAGAACCACGUGUGUCUACUGAGCAAUCAUCCGAAGCCAGUGAGAAAAGUGUGAUGGUGGUUGGUCAUCGAGUAACCAAAGACGGCGUGGAGUACCCAGUGAAGGGCACACAAGAGCCUGACAGUGCCGGAAUGUGGAUCCCAAGAGAAAAUGUCCCUGCCCGUCGGGAAAUCUUGUGAAUAAGUAAAUAAAUCUCGCUCUUGUCGCGGCACACACAAGACGGCAGAGGGCUUCUCGUUGCUCAACGUAGUCAACGGAACAUUUCAGGCUUCUUUUACUCGUACACGUUAGCGCAACUAAUACCUCAUUAUAGGAAAUGAACGAUGCAUGCCAUGCAACGAAAAUACGGCCAUUUUAAAGAUGUUUUGUUUUUUUGUUAAUUAAAAUUGAAAUGUUUUACUGUAAAGACGCUAUUCAUGGUUAAAGUAAUGCUAAACAUGCAAAACGUGUAAUAUUUAAGGUUACACAUGUAGUAAUAAACGAUUAAUCUUAGAAUAUAUGCCGGGAAUUCUAAAAAUUUCCUGGUAAGUAUCGCAAACAUUCGGGAGGAUGAUCCAAAUUUCCGGGACUACUUAAGUUAAGACCUAGUAUUGCUCAAACAGCGUUUGUUAGAGUUGUCACCCCCCGUUUUCUUCCCCUAGACUGGCACGUCGCGGAAAUGAAAGGGAUUUCAUUCUUAGUAAAGAGGAGUCGUAUCAAGGAGGUGAUCAAAUGUAGGGUAGGGUUCUACUGACUGUACCAAAAUCAAUUCGCAUGAUUUUCUCCAAGUGUCGGGUUAUAAAAUUCAUUCUGUUAGAGAUUGCCUUAUCGCGGCAGCAUAUUUUUAGGUUAGUACUAACUUUAAACAUGAGUUUUACUUUUUUUAAGCUAGAUUGUGUACAGAAUGAGUUAUUUAAUAUUUUUACGAUGGUCAAAGAUUGUUCAUAUUCACGUUUUUGGAGGUCAUAUAUUUAAAAUUCUUUAACCAAUGUGAAAUUGGAAUUCACGUGAUGUUGAUUUAUCGUAGGUAACGUGCAUUAUACACUUUCGCGUUGGAUCACGACGUUUUGACUGCAUACUGUAAGUUUUAUUUACGCAGUGAGGUCGUCAGAAGUGGUCUAAAGGACCUUAAGGGCACUUUCUCGCGUAGGGAACUUUAUUCGAAAUGCGCCAAUCACAACUGUGGAAAACCAGCCAAUUACAGCUGGGUAGAACAGUCCACGAGGUAACACAUAUCCAGUGGACCUCUCACCUGAAGAAGACUAGUCGAAACGUCGUGAUCCACAUCGGAAGUGACCUCAUGGUGAGACAAACAGCUAGGUUUCCAGACCAUUUAAUUAAAAGAGAGAUUAUGUUUCGAUAGUGCUGCAAUUUGUGACGCGGGCGUCAUGAAAAAUUGUAGGAACUAAAGUUCAGCUCCCAGUUGAAACAUGUUUGUGACAGGUAUUGAAGAUGACAGUUUGCCCAUACUUCCCACAAUUUUGACCACAGAAGUAUCUAGUGGACCCUAAGUGAUGGUUUUUAACAAUUUUCAGUUUGUUCGAGAGCAAAAGAUUAUAUCUUUUUACAGCUGAAGGUGUAACAGGGAAAUAAUUUUAUUAUAGGCGGAUUGUUAGAUAACAGAUGGCUAUCGAUGACAGCUUUGAGGUGAAUGCUUAGUAUUCACGACAGUAGUUCAUCAAUAGAAAUUACUUUUUAAUAAUCAAUUUGUGAUUUGCUGAAGAUAAACUUUAGUUUGAAGCAUUAAAUGUAUUUUUGGACAACUUA
This 4432-nucleotide long non-coding RNA is filed under the name Stylophora pistillata. RNAcentral's name for it is "uncharacterized LOC111323815". Lineage: Eukaryota; Metazoa; Cnidaria; Anthozoa; Scleractinia; Pocilloporidae. The record is from RNAcentral.